GGGGCUAUAGCUCAGCUGGGAGAGCGCUACACUGGCAGUGUAGAGGUCGACGGUUCGAUCCCGUCUAGCUCCACCA
RNAcentral lists this transfer RNA (76 nucleotides) under Arenicella sp. RNAcentral's name for it is "tRNA-Ala". It matches the Rfam family "tRNA". Rfam says of the family: Transfer RNA (tRNA) molecules are approximately 80 nucleotides in length. Their secondary structure includes four short double-helical elements and three loops (D, anti-codon, and T loops). RNAcentral also lists the same sequence under 7 other names. Lineage: Bacteria; Pseudomonadati; Pseudomonadota; Gammaproteobacteria; Arenicellales; Arenicellaceae. The record is from RNAcentral.